This 439-nucleotide ribosomal RNA is filed under the name uncultured bacterium. RNAcentral's name for it is "partial 16S ribosomal RNA". It matches the Rfam family "Bacterial small subunit ribosomal RNA", at positions 339 to 795 of the family's 1533-position model. The record is from RNAcentral.
CUACGGGGGGCACCAGUGGGGAAUAUUGCACAAUGGACGAAAGUCUGAUGCAGCAACGCCGCGUGGAGGAUGACACAUUUCGGUGCGUAAACUCCUUUUAUAUAAGAAGAUAAUGACGGUAUUAUAUGAAUAAGCACCGGCUAACUCCGUGCCAGCAGCCGCGGCAAUACGGAGGGUGCAAGCGUUACUCGGAAUCACUGGGCGUAAAGAGCGUGUAGGCGGAUAGAUAAGUUGGAAGUGAAAUCCUAUGGCUCAACCAUAGAACUGCUUCCAAAACUGUCUAUCUAGAAUAUGGGAGAGGUAGAUGGAAUUUCUGGUGUAGGGGUAAAAUCCGUAGAGAUCAGAAGGAAUACCGAUUGCGAAGGCGAUCUACUGGAACAUUAUUGACGCUGAGACGCGAAAGCGUGGGGAGCAAACAGGAUUAGAUACCCCAGUAGUC